UUAAAUCUCAUCCCCCUUGGCACUCAAGGCACUACGGCCAUGGAGCAGCGAAUAUAGCGGGGAACGGUGGACCCACCUGCAUGUCGUUUGAACAAAGUGGCGCAGAAUAGAAUCAGAUACUGGAGCCGAGUCCCGAGCUGUUCAUAUGAACAGCCCGAUUGAUCUGCAGCAGAUAUCGAAUCCAGCUGUUCAAAACAAAUCUGCUAUUUUGUCGUCAUCGUAACGGCCCUCUGCUUUUGUCUCUGCAGAUAAUUACGGGGACCACCCGAUCACGCACCACCACCCGGGCUACUCCCUAACAGCCUUAACCACGAAUAAAUAUAUAGUCGAUUAAUUUAUUCGACGGGAAGGAAUGUACGUAACAGUCGAUCGAAACGUAACACCCACCCACCCACCACCGUCCCUUCCGCAUUGAUAUAUAUAUAGGACAAGGGGAAGAAGAACGGAUCUCUACGCACUCAAACGAAGCAAGCAAUGAAUUCAGAAGGAACGGAAGAGAAUUCGAGACGAGGAGGAGGAAGAGAAAGAGAGGGAAAGGUGGCUCUGAUGCUGGGGAGCAUCGUGGAUUCUAUAAAGGCAAAGGUGAUGAAAUCUCUGAAGAAGAAGAAUAAGAAGAAGAGUAAGAUGUACGCGAGGAUGGAGAAGAGCGGCAGCUUGAAGGUGAAGAUCCGCAGCUUGCGGGCGCAGCGCAUCAUCGAUCAAACGCUCAAGGCGGCCGAUCGCCCCGGCAAGAUCUCCAUCUCUUCCUGAAGUUGCUCUCAUUUUCUCCGCCCCCCCUCGUCACUUUAGAUCUCCUAACUAGUGCUGUACAACGAUCUCAUUCAUUCAUUCAUUCAUUCUUUCAUCGUGUCCAUCGUUACAUGUGUCGCUAUGGAAUGCAUCCCUUCUCCGAUCGCUUUUUUGUAAGAGUAGCAAUAAGAUGUUGCCUAAUUUUUGACAGGAAAAAUUUUAAAAAAAUCCUCUUAUUCUCCAGGCUGUUUCGUUUUAUAUUGCGUUUAUGUACCUAUUUAUUCAUCUAUUUUUUUGGACUUUCCCUCCGUAUACACUCUCCUUUCCGUUGCGAAAUGCAGGAUUGAAACCAAAAAUGUUGCUCGGCUUCACUUUUCUUUUAAAUUAAAUUUAUAGCUACCACAAAUUCUAGAAAUUAAAAUUUCACCGGCUGCCUGUAAUAAGCACUCUGAAAAGAAUUAUCAAGUGACAAAUAAAGAUUUGAUAAUUCUAUAAUCGACCAACUCGUCUCGGGCAGCAAAUAUGGUAGGAAUCCUUGACACUAUUUAUUGGUCCCAAAGAGCAAACCUAUGACUUAAGCAAAAAAAAAACAAAAAAAAGAUCAAUCCCACGAUAACUUGUGAAAAUCUUCCAAAAAAAUUACAAAAUUGUACGUGCCCUUAGAUUGUAGCUCAUAGCUCUUGAUUCUACUAGCUGCACCGAUGGUCUUCCACAUCAAUUUUUUUUCCAAUUUUAUCCACCAAAAAAAAUUGUUUAUUUUAAAAUUUUAAAAUCCCAGUUAAUUCCUAGGGCGGGAAACCUCCUCUCCCUAGUUUUUAUUUUUAAUCACGGCUAUCUAAAAGAAAAGUUUCCUGCGUUUCGUUUGUGUUUUUAAUUUUUUUUUUAUUCAUCAUCUAUUGAUGGCCAAUCACGUGAAGACCAAUAGAAGACGCCUUCCCACGUGAAGUCCAUUUGCUGCUUUUUAACCGCUCGUCUUCCAUCAACGCUUUCCCUCCAACUACGAAAAAAAAAUCCCCUCCCCCCUUUCACCAACCCAACACGAGACCCCUCCGUCGAAACCCCAAUCCCACCUUCACCUCUGUCCCCGCUCGUCGAUCCGGAAUCAAGCCAAGCCUCGUGAUCGAUUCCAAUCUCUUCCCAUUUCUCAUGGCGAUUUCUCGACGAGCGUCGACGAACACCGGAUGAGCAUCGCGAUUGCUUCUUGGCCGCGAACCUUUCCACGAAAACCCCUAUGUAUGACAUUUCCUAUGCCCUUGAAGCUAAGGAAUGAAGGCCAUCAAACUGCAAAUCAAUUUAGUGGACAAUUAUUGUGGAUAUCCUUUGGUAAUUACCAGUUGCCACUCUUCUCUGCACACCAGUAUAAAAGAAGAUAGUAUCUACGGCAGGUCCAAGGUUGCAGAUUACAGUAAAUCUGAAUAUCCAACUUUUACACAUAUAUUGGUGAGAAGUCCCUCCAACCAAAAAUUUCAGUUUUUGGAUUUUUCACAGCUACAACUUCUUUAGUAAUUUUUUUCUUUUUUCAGCUUCAGCUUUCAUAUUCUUUGACAAACUACAUUUGUAAGGAAAAUCCUGCAUCUUUUUUCUUGGAGGCUAGGAGGGGACUUACAUGUAUUGAUUAUCUUGAAUAUUAACUUAAUGCUUUGAAAUUUUUACCAAAUCUUUUUGAUUGGGAGCUUGAUAUGUCAAGGCCCAAUUAUACAGUAAGGUGAUGAUGAUGUCAAUGCUAUUAGUAUGCCAGCGAAUAGCAUGACUUUAACACUUUAAGUAAUGCACAUACAUUAACAAGUUUUCUUUAACAAUUCUCUUCGUGCAAAUCAACACUAUAAAGGCUGGAAAUUGGAUAUGUGGCUUGUGGCUUUUAUAUUCUGAACCAUUCACUAGUUGUAGUUGGUCGUGUUUGGUAUGCAGAUUUUUGGAGUUAAUUGGGGCAAUUUUCCUCAAAGGGCAAAUCUGAACAUCUCCCAAGGAAAAAAAAACUGAAAGCCUCUCAUUUAUAAAAUCUUGUGUUCGCCAAACUGCCAUGAAUACGUUGUUUGUAGAUAUUGGUUAAUAAUAUAUCUAAUGGUUGCUCUUUUUCUGUAAUUCCUCCCAAGUGUCUUAGGUAGCUUUUAUCAUAUAAGGGAAAAUACACAAAGGGCUCUUCAUGCUUUCAGGUUUCAUUUGUUGGUGUGCAGUAUCAUUUUGAAAUUUUCAGAAAUCUAAGAUCCUGAUGAAGCAGGAAGAAGCAAAGACAUGGAGAAAAUAUUUUCCUAUAUGUGUUCUAUUUGGUGCUUCUAGCAAAUCUUUCCUCUUUACCAGGUAUGCUAGUAAUUAUCCCCAGAGGGGUACAGAAUUGUCCUGAAUAGCACCAUGGAUCCAAUAAAUCCAUACCUGGUAAUGGCUCUUGUCAUCUAGAACAUUCUUAUAUUCUUACUAUUUCUUAGUGAAUUUGAGGCAUUCACAGAGCAUAUGGAAGCCUUAAUCAAGGUUAAAUUAUUAGUGUGUAUUGGUACACAUCGACCGUACUGGAUCACACCAGUUACUGAUGCUAGUAUAACCCCCAUACUGGUAUGAUACCAAUGCUAGUAUAACCCCCAUAUUGUGUGUUGAUACUACCAUAUAGCACCCAUCCAUGACCGUAGUGCUGUAGUGGUAAGGCAUCAGUAGGGGUGCCAGUACCAAUACUUCAAACCUUGCCUUUGAUGACCAACCUAUACUUAAGCAAAUGUGGCAAUGGCCAAAAAUGAGAAGAGAGGUAAGUUGAUGGAAGUUGAGGUUCAAGUUUGUUACAUAACGAAAAGUAUUAUCUGAUUUAAAUUCUUUAAAAGGCUUUGGUGGUGGAGUUAUGAAAUUUGUUCCUUCAGAUGUCAAGUACAGAAAGGUAAUGGGCAAAUUUUUGUCAUUCUAUUAGUAAUCAUGUCAUAAUUGCUAUCCCUAUUAAUAUAUUUUAGUUCACAAAGCAACAAAAGCUAUCGGAUCAAAGUGAAUAUAUCUCAAUAUCAUCCAUGACAUAUGGUCCAUUUUAUAAUAUGAGAAUGCUUCAUGAUGAAAAUUACUUGUCAGCAUUUGUCUCAAAUAUUAUUACGGAUAUAUGCAUUUGUUUUACAUUGUAUAUUUGUAUUAUUUGAAUCUGAAUCGUUAAUAUUUGUGCCUCAGGUGAUUGUUGAUACUGUUGAAAAACCUCUUUAUUUCAUGUGACAUGCGGGACUUUUGCCAAGCAUGAGAGUUAUUUGAAGUUUGGCUUCCCAAAGAAUGUGUUGCAGGAAAACAAAAAUCAUUCAUACAGAAUAUCACUUUGGAUUCAUGUUUACCUUAAGAUAAAACCAAAUGAUGUGAAAGAACAGAAAUUAAAUCCACCAAAUUGCCAUGUUUUAACUCUAGAUAAAACAUUCUUGCCUCUUUUUUGAUCUAAUAUCUGGUACUGGUUAUUAAAACAAAUGUCCUUGCAUUUGUACCAAAAAGGAAAAAAUCCACAAUCUGGUGUUGUCAUUGCUAUUUAUUGUGAAGAUGUUCAGCCCCCGUAUUUAUUUCUUUAUUUUGUGAAGUAUGGUGAGAAUGCUGCCUUUCAGUUUUGAACUAAAUGGUUUCCUUAAUUUAUAAUGAUUUACCAAAUGUAUAUUAUGCAUUAUAUAAGAAGUCUACUUUGUUUUGCAGAUGGAUACCAACUACUGGGUUUUAUCAGAUGCUAGGGUCCAAAUUGCAGGCCUGGGUUAUGAGACUAAUUAUGCAAAUCAAGGCUGCAGUUCCACAGGAGGGGUUUGCUAGGCCUAAUAUAGAGGAUUACUGAUGGGAAAUAUGUGCUUCCCUUAUCGUCUAAACUCCAUCAUGUGGUAGCAUUGAAGUUCCCUCCAGCACAACCCUACUCGAUAAUGAAUGCAAGGGAUGAUAUCAGAUCCAGUUCAG
Non-coding RNA from Phoenix dactylifera (date palm), 4611 nucleotides. The record is from RefSeq and is a predicted model, not a curated record. NCBI's taxonomy places the organism in Eukaryota, Viridiplantae, Streptophyta, Magnoliopsida, Arecales, Arecaceae.